Non-coding RNA from Arachis ipaensis, 1525 nucleotides. The record is from RefSeq and is a predicted model, not a curated record. Lineage: Eukaryota; Viridiplantae; Streptophyta; Magnoliopsida; Fabales; Fabaceae.
CUACAAAAUAUCCAACAAACUUUUAUUCAAAUCUGAAAAAUUAAUGACACUAAAAACAUACAUAUUGAAACAGCACUACCGAGAGAAGAUUAUCGUGUUGGUGGGCGUCAGUGGCGGAGAGCAGAAUCGCAACAAACUCGGUGGUGAGCAAGGAGGAGGCCGGACAGCAAACAGUGGCGAGCUUCAACGGCCGUGCUAACGAUGGUUGGAGUCGUUGUAUCAUGGUGGAGGGAGACAUGAGGGGAACGCGCCCGCUGGGUUGAGGAGGGCGACGCGAGGGGAGCUUGGUGCGAUGGAUGAUGGCAGCAUGAAGGAGGAAGCGGGGAUGCCGGUGCUAAAAGGAAAAAAGAAGAAGAACGGCGCUGAGAGGAGAUUAGAAUUAGGGAUGCCAUUUAUGUUGAGCUAAACUGGAAUUUGCUGAGAUUUUGGAUGUCGACCCUGCCAUCAUUCUUCCGAUUGCAUCCCUGACCACCACUACCGUAACUCCAUCUCUAGUGGUUACUCGAUAUGCUACAUCAAUAUGUGCUUUCACCCAAGACUCUGGUGGAGGAUUCCAGGACAUCCUGAGUUCUUCUCACCUCCCCGUCGUCUCAAUAGCUGUUCACCAUCGAAGAGCUCCAGUUGAAGCCAAGUCCCGGUCGCCGUCAUCGGACCCACCGUGAGCAGUUAAAUACGUGGCUAAGCUUGAAGAUGGGACGGUUGUUCUGAAAUCUGAUGGGGUGGAAUUCACGGUGGAAGAAGGUCAGUCAUCGAGUUUGUGCUCAAGUUAUUUCUGUCCUGCAUUGGCCAAGGCUGUGAAGACAAUGAAGAAGGGAGAGAGAGUCAUCUUGACCGUGAAGCCAGAAUGUGAAUGCGUUUGGUGAGAAUGGAAGGCCAGCAUCAGGUGAUGAAGGUGCCGUGCCUUGGAAUGCUUCUCUGCAAAUUGAUCUCGAGUUGGUAUCUUGGAAGGCUGUAUGUGACAUAACCAAGGAUAAGAAGGUUCUCAAGAAGACCCUGAAGGAGGGAGAGGGAUAUGAAGUAUGAACGUCCCAAUGAUGGAGCUGUGGUUCAAGUGAAACUUAUUGGUAAGCUGCAAGAUGGGACUGUUUUCGUGAAGAAGGGUCAUGAUGAUGAGCAGCCAUUUGAGUUCAAAAUUGACGAGGAGUAAGUGAUUGAUGGACUUGAUAAGGCUGUAAUGAACAUGAAGAAAGCGGAAGUUGCAUUGGUGACCAUAAAUCCUGAAUACGCUUUUGGCUCAUCUGGGUCAACUCAGAACAGUACAUUAGUGCAAUCCAUUCUCAAGUAGAAUGAGUGGUGAUUGUCUCGAGUUGUGAAGUCACGUGUAUUUGAGUAUGCGGUCUAAGAUUUUGUUUGGGAACUUAGGAUGAUUUAAAUAUGCACAAAAUCCAAGUACUUAUUAGGUGAAACUUUUUAAUGCUUGUUAAGUAUGCACAAGUUAUUAUUAGACUAUGAUAUGAAACCAAUUAUUAAUGCUUUGUAAAUUUAUAUUGAUGAGUUCAACAUGCCAAAUUUAUGGUUUCAUACC